GACGAACGCUGGCGGCGUGCUUAACACAUGCAAGUCGAACGAAGCUUGAUUACGGAUUCUUCGGAUGAAGUAUGAUAUGACUGAGUGGCGGACGGGUGAGUAACGCGUGAGUAACCUGCCCUUCAGAGGGGGAUAGCGUUUGGAAACGAACGGUAAUACCGCAUAAUGUAUUUUGACCGCAUGAUCGAAAUACCAAAGAUUUAUCGCUGAAGGAUGGACUCGCGUCUGAUUAGGUAGUUGGUGGGGUAACGGCCUACCAAGCCGACGAUCAGUAGCCGGAAGGAGAGGUUGAUCGGCCACAUUGGGACUGAGACACGGCCCAGACUCCUACGGGAGGCAGCAGUGGGGAAUAUUGCACAAUGGGCGCAAGCCUGAUGCAGCAACGCCGCGUGAAGGAAGACGGUUUUCGGAUUGUAAACUUCUGUUCUUAGUGAAGAAUAAUGACGGUAGCUAAGGAGCAAGCCACGGCUAACUACGUG
Molecule: ribosomal RNA, 479 nt
Filed under: uncultured bacterium
Lineage: Bacteria
Description: partial 16S ribosomal RNA
Rfam family: Bacterial small subunit ribosomal RNA
Source: RNAcentral